AAAUGCUAGUCUAAGCGUUUAGGGAGUUACGGUAGGCAAAUCCGCUGUAACAAUUCUGAGGCGUGAUGGGGAAGGCCAUAUAGGCCGAAGUACAUGAUUCCAUGCUUCCAAGAAAAGCAUCUAGAGAGAGAAGUAGUGCCCCUACCGCAAACCGACACAGGUAGAUGAGGAGAGAAUCCUAAGGCCGGCGGAAGAAUUGCAGUUAAGGAACUAGGCAAAUUGACCCCGUAAGUUCGCGAGAAGGGGUGCCUGCGAGAGCAGGCCGCAGAGAAUAGGCCCAAGCAACUGUUUAGCAAAAACACAGGUCUCUGCUAAAGCGUAAGCUGAUGUAUAGGGGCUGACGCCUGCCCGGUGCUGGAAGGUUAAGGGGAACACUUAGCGCAAGCGAAGGUGUGAACUUAAGCCCCAGUAAACGGCGGCCGUAACAAUAACGGUCCUAAGGUAGCGAAAUUCCUUGUCAGGUAAGUUCUGACCCGCACGAAUGGCGUAAUGACUUGGGCACUGUCUCAACUGCAAAUCCGGCGAAGUUGUAGUGCGAGUGAAGAUGCUCGCUACCCGCGAUUGGACGGAAAGACCCCGUAGAGCUUUACUGUAGCUUAGCAUUGAAUUCCGGUAUUGUCUGUACAGGAUAGGUGGGAGACUGGGAAACUAGGGCGUCAGCCUUAGUGGAGUCAACCUUGGGAUACCACCCUGACAGUACUGGGGUUCUAACAGGACGCCAUGAAUCUGGUGACUGGACAUUGUUAGGUGGGCAGUUUGACUGGGGCGGUCGCCUCCUAAAAAGUAACGGAGGCGCCCAAAGGUUCCCUCAGAACGGUCGGAAAUCGUUCGUAGAGUGCAAAGGCAGAAGGGAGCCUGACUGCGAGACAUACAAGUCGAGCAGGGACGAAAGUCGGGCUUAGUGAUCCGGUGGUACCUCGUGGGAGGGCCAUCGCUCAACGGAUAAAAGCUACCUCGGGGAUAACAGGCUGAUCUCCCCCAAGAGUCCACAUCGACGGGGAGGUUUGGCACCUCGAUGUCGGCUCGUCGCAUCCUGGGGCUGUAGUAGGUCCCAAGGGUUGGGCUGUUCGCCCAUUAAAGCGGCACGCGAGCUGGGUUCAGAACGUCGUGAGACAGUUCGGUCCCUAUCCGUCGCGGGCGUAGGAAAUUUGAGAGGAGCUGUCCUUAGUACGAGAGGACCGGGAUGGACUGACCUCUGGUGCACCAGUUGUUCCGCCAGGAGCAUGGCUGGGUAGCUAAGUCGGGAAGGGAUAAACGCUGAAAGCAUCUAAGCGUGAAGCCUCCCUCAAGAUGAGAUUUCCCAUAGCAUAAGCUAGUAAGACCCCUUGAAGAACACAAGGUUGAUAGGUCAGAGGUGUAAGUGCGGUAACGUAUUUAGCUGACUGAUACUAAUAGGUCGAGGGCUUGAUCAA
RNAcentral lists this ribosomal RNA (1412 nucleotides) under metagenome. Its description in RNAcentral is "bacterial LSU rRNA". It matches the Rfam family "Bacterial large subunit ribosomal RNA", at positions 1502 to 2925 of the family's 2925-position model. The record is from RNAcentral.